UUACAACAUUGAAACUUAAACCUCACUUCCCCAAAUUUUAUAUUUGAAAACCCUAAGAAAUCGGAACCCAAAAUCCCUAGAAAUUGAAGGAGAAUGAACGCAAUCUUUAGAACCGAAAACUAGGUGAAAAAUCCCUUCGGGUUUUGGGGGAACCCUAAUUCCAGGAGAUUCGAAGGAGAAACAAUAGAUUUGUAGAAGAAACGGAAUAAAAGGAGAAAUGGCUCGAAGAACCAAUGGUGGUCUGGAUUUUACUCCGAAUUAUGGUAAUUUUUCUUGUCCAUUGGCUAUAUUUUUGUUAAUUUCGGUGGUGUGAUGUGUGUUUAGUCGUUGAUUGGUUGUUUAGUUUGUUUGUUUUGUGUUUUUUUUGUCUAUAAACAAAUUAAUUAAUGUAGUUGCAAUGGGGGACGAUAGCCUUUUUACAAUGAAAACUAGGCAUGGUGGGAUAAUGAAUCAUAUACCAAAAAGAGAGUAUUUAGGGGGUGCUAUAGACUAUUUUGUUCUUGUUGAUCCAGAUCAAACUAGUUGCUUAAUGUAUGGGGUUUUGUUAAGGAGUUAGGAUACAAUGAUCAUACUACUCUCAAGUUUUGGAUUAUAUAUGAAAAAAACUUCAAUACACAACGUAAACAAAUUUUCACAGAUGGUGAUGUGUUCGAUAUGAGAAAAUAUAUUCCGAAAAUUACAACUAGGAGUAAAUUACAGGUUUGAAAAUUGUGAUUGCACUCUCUCUUUUUUUUUUUUUUUUUUUUUUUGCUAUUACUUUUAAUUAUAGUUAUACUUCAUAAUUUAAAAAGAAAUAUUCUUUAUACAGGUGAGGAGGCCUGAGGUUCAAAAGAACGCAAAUAUGAGAAGGAACACAUGAGCAAUAAU
This 867-nucleotide long non-coding RNA is filed under the name Erythranthe guttata (spotted monkey flower). RNAcentral describes it as "long non-coding RNA (EGUT_LNC000622)". Lineage: Eukaryota; Viridiplantae; Streptophyta; Magnoliopsida; Lamiales; Phrymaceae. The record is from RNAcentral.